This 91-nucleotide transfer RNA is filed under the name Xylaria scruposa. RNAcentral describes it as "tRNA-Asp". It matches the Rfam family "tRNA". From Rfam's summary of the family: Transfer RNA (tRNA) molecules are approximately 80 nucleotides in length. The record is from RNAcentral. Lineage: Eukaryota; Fungi; Ascomycota; Sordariomycetes; Xylariales; Xylariaceae.
UCUCGAUUGGUCUAGUGGUCAGGAUACCUGCUUGUCAUUCGACGUUCAGUCCAAUUCGCAGGUGGCCGGGGUUCGAUUCCCCGAUCGAGAG